ACGCACGCUGGCGGCGUGCCUAAUACCUGCAAGUCGAGCGAAGUUUUUCUGGUGCUUGCACCGGAAAAACUUAGCGGCGAACGGGUGAGUAACACGUAAAGAACCUGCCUCAUAGACUGGGACAACUAUUGGAAACGAUAGCUAAUACCGGAUAAUAGCAUUAACUGCAUGGUUGAUGUUUAAAAGUUGGUUUUGCUAACACUAUGAGAUGGCUUUGCGGUGCAUUAGCUAGUUGGUGGGGUAAAGGCCUACCAAGGCGACGAUGCAUAGCCGACCUGAGAGGGUGAUCGGCCACACUGGGACUGAGACACGGCCCAGACUCCUACGGGAGGCAGCAGUAGGGAAUCUUCCGCAAUGGGCGAAAGCCUGACGGAGCAACGCCGCGUGAGUGAAGAAGGAUUUCGGUUCGUAAAGCUCUGUUGUUAGGGAAGAAUGAUUGUGUAGUAACUAUACACAGUAGAGACGGUACCUAACCAGAAAGCCACGGCUAACUACGUG
This 498-nucleotide ribosomal RNA is filed under the name uncultured bacterium. RNAcentral describes it as "partial 16S ribosomal RNA". It matches the Rfam family "Bacterial small subunit ribosomal RNA", at positions 29 to 507 of the family's 1533-position model. The record is from RNAcentral.